AUGAGGCAGAUCAUGGGUUCUUAUUGUAAUAGUGUAGAAUGUUGGUUACAACUGUGGACUCCCUGGCUCUAUCUCAA
Molecule: microRNA precursor, 77 nt
Filed under: Callithrix jacchus (white-tufted-ear marmoset)
Lineage: Eukaryota; Metazoa; Chordata; Mammalia; Primates; Cebidae
Description: mir-591 microRNA precursor family
Rfam family: mir-591 microRNA precursor family
Source: Rfam by way of RNAcentral